Pongo pygmaeus (Bornean orangutan) is the source of this 650-nucleotide long non-coding RNA. RefSeq lists it as uncharacterized. The transcript has 3 exons. Lineage: Eukaryota; Metazoa; Chordata; Mammalia; Primates; Hominidae. The record is from RefSeq and is a predicted model, not a curated record.
AGCAACCCGCUGAGUUCCCCUUCCACACUGUGGGGGUUUGUUGUUUCGCCCUUUGCAAUAAAUCUUGCUACUGCUGGCUUUUUGUGUCCAUGCUGCUUUUAUGAGCUGUAACACUCACUGCGAAGAUCUGCAGUGCCUGAAGCCAGCGAGCCCACAAGCUCACUGGGAGGAACGAACAACUCCAGACGCGCUGCCUUAAGAGCUGUAACACUCACAGGGAAGGUCUGCAGCUUCACUCCUGAGCCAGCGAGACUAUGAACCGGGCGGGGCGGGAACACUAGAAGGAAGAAACUCUGAACACAUGCGAACAUCAGAAGGAACAAACUCAAGGCGCGCCACCUUAAGAGCUGUAACACUCACGGUGAGGGUACGCAGCUUCAUUCUUGAAGUCAGUGAGACCAAGAACCCACCAAUUCCGGACACAGAACAACUAAAACCCCUGCAAAUUACAUGUAAAACAAGUUUAAGAGGACUUUGAGAGAUGAAGAAAAGCAGGCAGACCAGCCAGGGACCUUGCAGCCUGAAGAAGGACAGGAAGGCUUAACAACUGCUUGAGGUAUGGAUAUUUGGCAGGAGCCACUCUUUUAGGAGGAGUCACCAACUUGGACCAUGAGUACGAAGACCAUGCCUGAGGGAAAACAAAAGAGGCU